UUCUCCUACGGGAGGCAGCAGUGAGGAAUAUUGGUCAAUGGGCGCGAGCCUGAACCAGCCAAGUCGUGUGAGGGAAGACGGUCCUAUGGAUUGUAAACCUCUUUUGUCGGGGAGCAAAAGACGCCACGCGUGGCGUUCCGAGAGUACCCGAAGAAAAAGCAUCGGCUAACUCCGUGCCAGCAGCCGCGGUAAUACGGAGGAUGCGAGCGUUAUCCGGAUUUAUUGGGUUUAAAGGGUGCGUAGGCGGGUUAUCAAGUCAGCGGUAAAAUCGUGGAGCUCAACUCCAUCCAGCCGUUGAAACUGAG
Molecule: ribosomal RNA, 305 nt
Filed under: uncultured bacterium
Lineage: Bacteria
Description: bacterial SSU rRNA
Rfam family: Bacterial small subunit ribosomal RNA
Source: RNAcentral